GACGAACGCUGGCGGCGUGCUUAACACAUGCAAGUCGAACGAAGUGGCGAACGGGUGAGUAACGCGUAAUCAACCUGCCCUUCAGGGGGGGAUAACAGUUGGAAACGACUGCUAAUCCCGCAUACUGAAGGAGGGGAUUGCGUGUGAUUAGCUCGUUGGGGGGGUAACGGCCCACCAAGGCGAUGAUCAGUAGGCGGUUCUGGAGGGUGGACGGCCACAUUGGGACUGGGACACGGCCCAGACUCCUACGGGAGGCAGCCGUGGGGAAUCAUCCGCAAUGGACGGAAAGCUGACGGAGCAACGCCGCGGGAGAGAUGACGGCCUUCGGGGUGUAAAGCUCUUUUAAGCGGGACGCGGUACCGGAAUAGAAAGCCACGGCUAACUACGUGCCAGCAGCCGCGGUAAUUC
This 408-nucleotide ribosomal RNA is filed under the name uncultured bacterium. Its description in RNAcentral is "partial 16S ribosomal RNA". It matches the Rfam family "Bacterial small subunit ribosomal RNA", at positions 28 to 526 of the family's 1533-position model. The record is from RNAcentral.